AGCGUACACGGUGGAUGCCCUGGCAGUCAGAGGCGAUGAAGGACGUGCUAAUCUGCGAUAAGCGUCGGUAAGGUGAUAUGAACCGUUAUAACCGGCGAUUUCCGAAUGGGGAAACCCAGUGUGAUUCGUCACACUAUCAUUAACUGAAUCCAUAGGUUAAUGAGGCGAACCGGGGGAACUGAAACAUCUAAGUACCCCGAGGAAAAGAAAUCAACCGAGAUUCCCCCAGUAGCGGCGAGCGAACGGGGAGCAGCCCAGAGCCUGAAUCAGUGUGUGUGUUAGUGGAAGCGUCUGGAAAGGCGCGCGAUACAGGGUGACAGCCCCGUACACAAAAAUGCACAUGCUGUGAGCUCGAUGAGUAGGGCGGGACACGUGGUAUCCUGUCUGAAUAUGGGGGGACCAUCCUCCAAGGCUAAAUACUCCUGACUGACCGAUAGUGAACCAGUACCGUGAGGGAAAGGCGAAAAGAACCCCGGCGAGGGGAGUGAAAAAGAACCUGAAACCGUGUACGUACAAGCAGUGGGAGCACGCUUAGGCGUGUGACUGCGUACCUUUUGUAUAAUGGGUCAGCGACUUAUAUUCUGUAGCAAGGUUAACCGAAUAGGGGAGCCGAAGGGAAACCGAGUCUUAACUGGGCGUUAAGUUGCAGGGUAUAGACCCGAAACCCGGUGAUCUAGCCAUGGGCAGGUUGAAGGUUGGGUAACACUAACUGGAGGACCGAACCGACUAAUGUUGAAAAAUUAGCGGAUGACUUGUGGCUGGGGGUGAAAGGCCAAUCAAACCGGGAGAUAGCUGGUUCUCCCCGAAAGCUAUUUAGGUAGCGCCUCGUGAAUUCAUCUCCGGGGGUAGAGCACUGUUUCGGCAAGGGGGUCAUCCCGACUUACCAACCCGAUGCAAACUGCGAAUACCGGAGAAUGUUAUCACGGGAGACACACGGCGGGUGCUAACGUCCGUCGUGAAGAGGGAAACAACCCAGACCGCCGGCUAAGGUCCCAAAGUCAUGGUUAAGUGGGAAACGAUGUGGGAAGGCCCAGACAGCCAGGAUGUUGGCUUAGAAGCAGCCAUCAUUUAAAGAAAGCGUAAUAGCUCACUGGUCGAGUCGGCCUGCGCGGAAGAUGUAACGGGGCUAAACCAUGCACCGAAGCUGCGGCAGCGACGCUUAUGCGUUGUUGGGUAGGGGAGCGUUCUGUAAGCCUGCGAAGGUGUGCUGUGAGGCAUGCUGGAGGUAUCAGAAGUGCGAAUGCUGACAUAAGUAACGAUAAAGCGGGUGAAAAGCCCGCUCGCCGGAAGACCAAGGGUUCCUGUCCAACGUUAAUCGGGGCAGGGUGAGUCGACCCCUAAGGCGAGGCCGAAAGGCGUAGUCGAUGGGAAACAGGUUAAUAUUCCUGUACUUGGUGUUACUGCGAAGGGGGGACGGAGAAGGCUAUGUUGGCCGGGCGACGGUUGUCCCGGUUUAAGCGUGUAGGCUGGUUUUCCAGGCAAAUCCGGAAAAUCAAGGCUGAGGCGUGAUGACGAGGCACUACGGUGCUGAAGCAACAAAUGCCCUGCUUCCAGGAAAAGCCUCUAAGCAUCAGGUAACAUCAAAUCGUACCCCAAACCGACACAGGUGGUCAGGUAGAGAAUACCAAGGCGCUUGAGAGAACUCGGGUGAAGGAACUAGGCAAAAUGGUGCCGUAACUUCGGGAGAAGGCACGCUGAUAUGUAGGUGAAGUCCCUCGCGGAUGGAGCUGAAAUCAGUCGAAGAUACCAGCUGGCUGCAACUGUUUAUUAAAAACACAGCACUGUGCAAACACGAAAGUGGACGUAUACGGUGUGACGCCUGCCCGGUGCCGGAAGGUUAAUUGAUGGGGUCAGCGCAAGCGAAGCUCUUGAUCGAAGCCCCGGUAAACGGCGGCCGUAACUAUAACGGUCCUAAGGUAGCGAAAUUCCUUGUCGGGUAAGUUCCGACCUGCACGAAUGGCGUAAUGAUGGCCAGGCUGUCUCCACCCGAGACUCAGUGAAAUUGAACUCGCUGUGAAGAUGCAGUGUACCCGCGGCAAGACGGAAAGACCCCGUGAACCUUUACUAUAGCUUGACACUGAACAUUGAGCCUUGAUGUGUAGGAUAGGUGGGAGGCUUUGAAGUGUGGACGCCAGUCUGCAUGGAGCCGACCUUGAAAUACCACCCUUUAAUGUUUGAUGUUCUAACGUUGACCCGUAAUCCGGGUUGCGGACAGUGUCUGGUGGGUAGUUUGACUGGGGCGGUCUCCUCCUAAAGAGUAACGGAGGAGCACGAAGGUUGGCUAAUCCUGGUCGGACAUCAGGAGGUUAGUGCAAUGGCAUAAGCCAGCUUGACUGCGAGCGUGACGGCGCGAGCAGGUGCGAAAGCAGGUCAUAGUGAUCCGGUGGUUCUGAAUGGAAGGGCCAUCGCUCAACGGAUAAAAGGUACUCCGGGGAUAACAGGCUGAUACCGCCCAAGAGUUCAUAUCGACGGCGGUGUUUGGCACCUCGAUGUCGGCUCAUCACAUCCUGGGGCUGAAGUAGGUCCCAAGGGUAUGGCUGUUCGCCAUUUAAAGUGGUACGCGAGCUGGGUUUAGAACGUCGUGAGACAGUUCGGUCCCUAUCUGCCGUGGGCGCUGGAGAACUGAGGGGGGCUGCUCCUAGUACGAGAGGACCGGAGUGGACGCAUCACUGGUGUUCGGGUUGUCAUGCCAAUGGCACUGCCCGGUAGCUAAAUGCGGAAGAGAUAAGUGCUGAAAGCAUCUAAGCACGAAACUUGCCCCGAGAUGAGUUCUCCCUGACUCCUUGA
Molecule: ribosomal RNA, 2787 nt
Filed under: Escherichia coli
Lineage: Bacteria; Pseudomonadati; Pseudomonadota; Gammaproteobacteria; Enterobacterales; Enterobacteriaceae
Description: bacterial LSU rRNA
Rfam family: Bacterial large subunit ribosomal RNA
Source: RNAcentral